Long non-coding RNA from Carya illinoinensis, 444 nucleotides. RefSeq lists it as uncharacterized. The record is from RefSeq and is a predicted model, not a curated record. Lineage: Eukaryota; Viridiplantae; Streptophyta; Magnoliopsida; Fagales; Juglandaceae. The transcript has 2 exons.
AUAAUUCUGUUGAUCAUGAAACUCAUGCUCUGUUGGUCAAACAAGUUAAUCACCAGCCUAAGUUCUUGAAAGACAAGUCAAAGAGGUCCUCUCUAUACUGUACUCACUGUGGGUACAAUGGACACACUGUGGAGAAGUGUUUCCAGUUGCAUGGAUAUCCCCCUGGUUGGACUGGACCCAAAGGCAAGCGAUAUUCACCUACUGUAAAUGCAGCUAUCUCAAAUGAAGAGGUCUAUAUUACCAACAGCAAUGAGAACCAAAAGUUUUCUUUAACUCAUGAGGAAUUUACCAAGCUUUUAGCACUUGCUAAUUCAAAUCCUUCACUGCCUCAAACAAACCUCACACCAGCUGUGAAUCUUGCCACUUCUCAUUUCUCUGGACCAAUCAGCAAAGAGGAUGAUUGGGAUUGCUCAUGAAAAACAUGGACUUUACCACUUCAAACAA